This 109-nucleotide ribosomal RNA is filed under the name uncultured eukaryote. RNAcentral describes it as "partial small subunit ribosomal RNA". It matches the Rfam family "Eukaryotic small subunit ribosomal RNA", at positions 1676 to 1785 of the family's 1831-position model. The record is from RNAcentral.
UCGCACCUACCGAUUGAAUGGUCCGGUGAAGCCUCGGGAUUGUGGCCAGUGCCUUUAUUGGGGCUUGGCCGCGGGAACUUGUCUGAACCUUAUCAUUUAGAGGAAGGUG